Molecule: ribosomal RNA, 494 nt
Filed under: uncultured bacterium
Lineage: Bacteria
Description: partial 16S ribosomal RNA
Rfam family: Bacterial small subunit ribosomal RNA
Source: RNAcentral
GACGAACGCUGGCGGCGUGCUUAACACAUGCAAGUCGAACGGAAAGGCCUGCUUUCCCUUGUGGAUUGCGGGUACUCGAGUGGCGAACGGGUGAGUAACACGUGAGUGAUCUGCCCCCAACUUGGGUAUAAGCCUGGGAAACUGGGUCUAAUUCCCGAUAGGACUGCAGGGUGGUGCCUGUGGUGGAAAACGAUUUUCUAGUGGUUGGGGAUGAGCUCGCGGCCUAUCAGCUUGUUGGUGGGGUAAUGGCCUACCAAGGCGGCGACGGGUAGCCGGCCUGGGAGGGUGGACGGCCACAUUGGGACUGAGAUACGGCCCAGACUCCUACGGGAGGCAGCAGUGGGGAAUAUUGCACAAUGGGCGGAAGCCUGAUGCAGCGACGCCGCGUGGAGGAUGACGGCCUUCGGGUUGUAAACUCCUUUCGACCGCGAGGAAGCCACCUGGUUGGAAGGGUGGUGACGGUAGUGGUAGAAGAAGCACCGGCUAACUACGUG